GGGCUAAUACCGGAUGGUUGUUUGAACCGCAUGGUUCCGACAUAAAAGGUGGCUUCGGCUACCACUUACAGAUGGACCCGCGGCGCAUUAGCUAGUUGGUGAGGUAACGGCUCACCAAGGCAACGAUGCGUAGCCGACCUGAGAGGGUGAUCGGCCACACUGGGACUGAGACACGGCCCAGACUCCUACGGGAGGCAGCAGUAGGGAAUCUUCCGCAAUGGACGAAAGUCUGACGGAGCAACGCCGCGUGAGUGAUGAAGGUUUUCGGAUCGUAAAGCUCUGUUGUUAGGGAAGAACAAGUGCCGUUCAAAUAGGGCGGCACCUUGACGGUACCUAACCAGAAAGCCACGGCUAACUACGUGCCAGCAGCCGCGGUAAUACGUAGGUGGCAAGCGUUGUCCGGAAUUAUUGGGCGUAAAGGGCUCGCAGGCGGUUUCUUAAGUCUGAUGUGAAAGCCCCCGGCUCAACCGGGGAGGGUCAUUGGAAACUGGGGAACUUGAGUGCAGAAGAGGAGAGUGGAAUUCCACGUGUAGCGGUGAAAUGCGUAGAGAUGUGGAGGAACACCAGUGGCGAAGGCGACUCUCUGGUCUGUAACUGACGCUGAGGAGCGAAAGCGUGGGGAGCGAACAGGAUUAGAUACCCUGGUAGUCCACGCCGUAAACGAUGAGUGCUAAGUGUUAGGGGGUUUCCGCCCCUUAGUGCUGCAGCUAACGCAUUAAGCACUCCGCCUGGGGAGUACGGUCGCAAGACUGAAACUCAAAGGAAUUGACGGGGGCCCGCACAAGCGGUGGAGCAUGUGGUUUAAUUCGAAG
This 812-nucleotide ribosomal RNA is filed under the name Bacillus sp. (in: firmicutes). RNAcentral's name for it is "bacterial SSU rRNA". It matches the Rfam family "Bacterial small subunit ribosomal RNA", at positions 160 to 956 of the family's 1533-position model. Lineage: Bacteria; Bacillati; Bacillota; Bacilli; Caryophanales; Bacillaceae. The record is from RNAcentral.